Molecule: long non-coding RNA, 899 nt
Filed under: Olea europaea subsp. europaea
Lineage: Eukaryota; Viridiplantae; Streptophyta; Magnoliopsida; Lamiales; Oleaceae
Rfam family: Plant small nucleolar RNA R71 (bases 179-285)
Source: RNAcentral
CUUGUGAACAACACGCUCAGAGGCCCACAUAGCUGUGGUAGUAGCCACUCUCUCAAACAAUUCCAAAGCUUCAUCAAUUGUCUUUGUGGAUAAGGAGCCAUUGGAUGAUGAGUCCACCAUGCUUUUAUAAGAUGGAAGUAGACUUGCAUAAAAAUAUUGGACCUGAAGCCCUUUGCUGAUGCCAUGAUGAGGGCACUUUCGAAGCAUGUUCUUGAAUCUAUUCCAAGCUUCAUCAAAGGAUUCGGUUUCUCCCUGCCGAAAUAUGGAUAUGUCAUGCUUCAACUUCGUAAUCUUAGCCGGUGGGAAGAAUUUGGUGCAAAAUUUUUGAGCCAAGUCAUUCCAAGUGGUGAUACUAGCAAUAGGCUGUGAAUCUAACCAUUCAAGCGCUCUAUUCCAUAGAGUAUGUGGAAAUAAUCUCAAUUUGAUUGCAUCAUCUGGAAUCCCUUGAUAUUUAAAGUGUUGACGCAUCUCGAAAAAUCGGGAGACAUGUGUAUAUGGAUUUUCAUCAGACCUGCCAUAAAAUUGAUGUUCAUUUUGGAAUAAAUGAAUGACAUUGGUCUUCAGCUGAAAGUUUGGUUGUCCAAACGGAGGAUAAACGAUGCUAGAUUGGCUUUGAAUAAUUUGUGGAGUCAUAAAGUCCCCAACUAGCAUGUUUCCUUCAUUAACCACUGCUUCUUCGUUCACUUGAAUAAUUGGAUUAUUCUAUCCGUUGGCUAUCUCUUGUUGUUUUUUUUCUCUUGCGUCUCUUUGCCUACGGUGAAAAGUACGUUCGAUUUCUGGAUCAGUUGGUAUCGGUUCACCGUCCCUCGAAUUUCGCAUAAAAUGCAAGAGAAAAUUAAAGUGCUAAAAUAACCGUAAAAUAAAAAUAAAACAAUAAUAAUAAUAAUAAAUAAAAUAAA